AGGACGAACGCUGGCGGCGUGCUUAACACAUGCAAGUCGAGCGGAAAGGCCCUUCGGGGUACUCGAGCGGCGAACGGGUGAGUAACACGUGAGCAACCUGCCCCUGGCUCUGGGAUAGCCUCCGGAAACGGGGAUUAAUACCGGACAUUCACUUCCUUCCGCAUGGUUGGGGGUGGAAAGUUUUUCGGCCGGGGAGGGGCUCGCGGCCUAUCAGCUUGUUGGCGGGGUAACGGCCCACCAAGGCGACGACGGGUAGCCGGCCUGAGAGGGCGACCGGCCACACUGGGACUGAGACACGGCCCAGACUCCUACGGGAGGCAGCAGUGGGGAAUAUUGCGCAAUGGGCGGAAGCCUGACGCAGCGACGCCGCGUGGGGGAUGAAGGCCUUCGGGUUGUAAACCCCUUUCACCAGGAGCGAAUCCAGACGGUACCUGGGAAGAAGCGCCGGCUAACUACGCGCCAGCAGCCGC
This 470-nucleotide ribosomal RNA is filed under the name uncultured bacterium. Its description in RNAcentral is "SSU rRNA". It matches the Rfam family "Bacterial small subunit ribosomal RNA", at positions 26 to 518 of the family's 1533-position model. The record is from RNAcentral.